CUUUUGGAUUUUCUUGUUGUCUUCCUGCUACAUGUUACCUGCCUGCAUUUGGACUCUCAGCCUGCCCUCACCUGGCUCCACGCAGGGACUUAUGGGUAGUGGAGGUAACCAGGUCGGCGUGCUGGAAAGGAGAGGGAACGGCUCCUGCUGCCACCAGGCCGCUGAUAUGAGCCAUGUCUGCCAGCAGAAUACAACAUAGUGGACAUAAGAGGUACCUUCUUCAUGCGAGGGUAGUCGAGGAGGCGAGCGUAGGCGCUGGUUCCUGCUAUGAUGAGUCUGGGUCUGAAGAGUCGGGCCGUCUUCUCCAGC
Sebastes umbrosus (honeycomb rockfish) is the source of this 309-nucleotide long non-coding RNA. RefSeq lists it as uncharacterized. The transcript has 3 exons. NCBI's taxonomy places the organism in Eukaryota, Metazoa, Chordata, Actinopteri, Perciformes, Sebastidae. The record is from RefSeq and is a predicted model, not a curated record.